CUAAUACAUGCAAGUCGAACGCUGCUUAAGAAGAAACUUCGGUUUUUUCUUAAGCGGAGUGGCGGACGGGUGAGUAACACGUGGGGAACCUAUCCAUCAGCGGGGGAUAACACUUGGAAACAGGUGCUAAUACCGCAUAGGGCUUUUUUUCACCUGAAAAGAAGCUGAAAGGCGCUUUGUGCGUCACUGAUGGCUGGUCCCGCGGUGCAUUAGCCAGUUGGUGAGGUAACGACUCACCAAAGCAACGAUGCAUAGCCGACCUGAGAGGGUGAUCGGCCACACUGGGACUGAGACACGGCCCAGACUCCUACGAGAGGCAGCAGUAGGGAAUCUUCCGCAAUGGACGAAAGUCUGACGGAGCAAUGCCGCGUGAGUGAAGAAGGUCUUCGGAUCGUAAAGCUCUGUUGCCGGAGAAGAACAAGGACAGUAGUAACUGGCUGUCCCUUGACGGUAUCCGGCCAGAAAGCCACGGCUAACUACGUGCCAGCAGCCGCGGUAAUACGUAGGUGGCAAGCGUUGUCCGGAUUUAUUGGGCGUAAAGCGAGCGCAGGCGGUUCUUUAAGUCUGAUGUGAAAUCUUGCGGCUCAACCGCAAACGUGCAUUGGAAACUGGAGGACUUGAGUGCAGAAGAGGAGAGUGGAAUUCCACGUGUAGCGGUGAAAUGCGUAGAGAUGUGGAGGAACACCAGUGGCGAAGGCGAC
RNAcentral lists this ribosomal RNA (701 nucleotides) under uncultured bacterium. RNAcentral describes it as "bacterial SSU rRNA". It matches the Rfam family "Bacterial small subunit ribosomal RNA", at positions 48 to 725 of the family's 1533-position model. The record is from RNAcentral.